GAUGAACGCUGGCGGCGUGCCUAAUACAUGCCAGUCGAGCGAACAGACGAGGAGCUUGCUCCUCUGACGUUAGCGGCGGACGGGUGAGUAACACUUGGAUAACCUACCUAUAAGACUGGGAUAACUUCGGGAAACCGGAGCUAAUACCGGAUAAUAUAUUGAACCGCAUGGUUCAAUAGUGAAAGACGGUUUUGCUGUCACUUAUAGAUGGAUCCGCGCCGCAUUAGCUAGUUGGUAAGGUAACGGCUUACCAAGGCAACGAUGCGUAGCCGACCUGAGAGGGUGAUCGGCCACACUGGAACUGAGACACGGUCCAGACUCCUACGGGAGGCAGCAGUAGGGAAUCUUCCGCAAUGGGCGAAAGCCUGACGGAGCAACGCCGCGUGAGUGAUGAAGGUCUUCGGAUCGUAAAACUCUGUUAUUAGGGAAGAACAAAUGUGUAAGUAACUAUGCACGUCUUGACGGUACCUAAUCAGAAAGCCACGGCUAACUACGUG
RNAcentral lists this ribosomal RNA (497 nucleotides) under uncultured bacterium. Its description in RNAcentral is "partial 16S ribosomal RNA". It matches the Rfam family "Bacterial small subunit ribosomal RNA", at positions 28 to 507 of the family's 1533-position model. The record is from RNAcentral.